GGGGAUGUAGCUUAAUGGUAAAGCUUUGGUCUUCCAAACCAACGACGCGGGUUCGAUUCCCGUCAUCCCCUCCA
RNAcentral lists this transfer RNA (74 nucleotides) under Nesterenkonia xinjiangensis. RNAcentral describes it as "tRNA-Gly". It matches the Rfam family "tRNA". From Rfam's summary of the family: Transfer RNA (tRNA) molecules are approximately 80 nucleotides in length. Their secondary structure includes four short double-helical elements and three loops (D, anti-codon, and T loops). Further hydrogen bonds mediate the characteristic L-shaped molecular structure. tRNAs have two regions of fundamental functional importance: the anti-codon, which is responsible for specific mRNA codon recognition, and the 3' end, to which the tRNAs corresponding amino acid is attached (by aminoacyl-tRNA synthetases). tRNAs cope with the degeneracy of the genetic code in two manners: having more than one tRNA (with a specific anti-codon) for a particular amino acid; and 'wobble' base-pairing, i.e. permitting non-standard base-pairing at the 3rd anti-codon position. RNAcentral also lists the same sequence under 2 other names. The record is from RNAcentral. Lineage: Bacteria; Bacillati; Actinomycetota; Actinomycetes; Micrococcales; Micrococcaceae.